UUCUUGGAACUCCAGUGGUUCCUUCAUUGGAUGGAUAUGAAUCUCGACCAGGUAUUGGGAAUGCGAGAAGCAGUACAUUGGUCAGAUAAAUAUCUACAACAAAAUCUUUAAGGAUAUGACUACAUUGAAGUAUGAGAUUCCGCUACUGGAUCGCAAUACAAGAUUUUCAUUGUGGUAAGUAAAGAUCAGGGUUGUGUUGGCACAGAUGGAUGUAGAUGAUGCUUUGUUGACUUUUGAUAAAAUGCCAGCAAAAUGUACAACGAAGGAUUCGGUUUAAGAACCGUCGGGUUCGGUUCGGGAGAUUUGCCCAACCCUACAUUUAAUGACAUGAUGUAUUUAAAUAAACAUCAUAUGGCUUUUAUAUAAAUUGUGGAAGCAUCCUUAUGAAGUUUAUUGACCAAUUCAACAAAUUUGAACAACUCCCAAUUAUAUAAAUAUGAAGACUCUCUGCAUAUGUGUGGGGUAAUUUAAUGAAUAGUCACUCAACAUUAUUAUAGGUUACUAUUUGCUCAAUGAUAUCCAAAAAGGUAUUCGUUGCUCAAUGAGCUUUGCUAUAUGUUACUAUUUACAAUGAAAUUGCAAGUGGAGGGUAAAGUUUUGGAUGACUACUACUUGUUUUUGUCUGGAAAUUAUGGGAAUUCUUGCAUUGAUAUUCGUUCCACUUGAUUGGUUUUUUCUGAGUGAUUAAGAUGUAUUUGGUGGAGAGUAGAGGGGGAUGUUAAGGCACAUGGCCUGCGAUUUUGAUAAUCCUGGAGACGCUUGGUUGGAUUCACCCUCGAUCGAAUUCAAUAUUCUUCACAAUUGGAAUGAACUCUAGUUCAAUUUUGUUGGGUGGCUUUUGGCUCCUAGAGGAAAUUCACUAAAGCGAGUGGAAGCCACUACAGGAUGCCGCGCGUGUAUAUUAGAGGAGAGGGUUCAAAAAAGACUUCGACAAGGUAAUGCAAGUGCUCCCCCUAUAUGAUGCAUUUUUGUGGUGUUAUAAGUAUUUAUAAAGACUAAUUCUGAAUAGCUAUAUAUUUGAAUGAAAACCUGUUAACGAUGCACACAACAAAAUGGCAAAGAAAAAG
Olea europaea var. sylvestris is the source of this 1067-nucleotide long non-coding RNA. RefSeq lists it as uncharacterized. The record is from RefSeq and is a predicted model, not a curated record. Lineage: Eukaryota; Viridiplantae; Streptophyta; Magnoliopsida; Lamiales; Oleaceae. The transcript is spliced from 2 exons.